GAUGAAGAACGUAGUGAAAUGCGAUAAGUAAUGUGAAUUGCAGAAUUCAGUGAAUCAUCGAAUCUUUGAACGCACCUUGCACCCUUUGGCAUUCCGAAGGGUAUGCUCGUUUGAGUGUCAUUGUACUCUCACACUCUCCGAUCCUAUGGAUUCGGGGAGCGGUGGACUUGGGUGUUGCUGCCUUUCCCUGUGGCUCACCUCAAAUGCGUCAGUGCACCUCUUGGUUGGACAUAGUACGGCGUGAUAAGUGUCUUCGCCGGCACCUCGCAAGAGGGUGGCCGAUCGGGAGCUCUGCGCUUUCAAACCGUCUUCGGACAAUUUCUGACAUCUUGACCUCAAAUCGAGUAGGACUACCCGCUGAACUUAAGCAUAUCAAUAAGCGGAGGA
RNAcentral lists this unclassified non-coding RNA (387 nucleotides) under soil metagenome. RNAcentral's name for it is "partial contains 5.8S ribosomal RNA, internal transcribed spacer 2, and large subunit ribosomal RNA". The stretch from base 1 to 120 matches the Rfam family "5.8S ribosomal RNA", at positions 35 to 154 of the family's 154-position model. The record is from RNAcentral.